This 446-nucleotide ribosomal RNA is filed under the name uncultured bacterium. Its description in RNAcentral is "bacterial SSU rRNA". It matches the Rfam family "Bacterial small subunit ribosomal RNA", at positions 30 to 504 of the family's 1533-position model. The record is from RNAcentral.
CGAACGCUGGCGGUAUGCUUAACACAUGCAAGUCGAACGAGGUUGCUGAGAAGCUUGCUUUUUAGUAAUUUAGUGGCAAACGGGUGAGUAACACGUGGGAAUCUGCCUAUCAGUACGGAAUAACACCUGGAAACAGAUGCUAAUACCGUAUAUUCUCUACGGAGGAAAGAUUUAUCGCUGAUAGAUGAGCCCGCGUCAGAUUAGGUAGUUGGUAGGGUAAUGGCCUACCAAGCCUACGAUCUGUAGCUGGUCUGAGAGGAUGAUCAGCCACACUGGGACUGAGACACGGCCCAGACUCCUACGGGAGGCAGCAGUGGGGAAUAUUGGACAAUGGGCGAAAGCCUGAUCCAGCAAUACCGCGUGAAUGAUGAAGGCCUUAGGGUUGUAAAGUUCUUUUAGUAGGGAAGAUAAUGACGGUACCUACAGAAAAAGCCCCGGCUAACUCC